RNAcentral lists this ribosomal RNA (263 nucleotides) under uncultured bacterium. Its description in RNAcentral is "partial 16S ribosomal RNA". It matches the Rfam family "Bacterial small subunit ribosomal RNA", at positions 793 to 1055 of the family's 1533-position model. The record is from RNAcentral.
GUCCACGCCGUAAACGAUGAGUGCUAGUUGUCGGGCGGCAUGCCGUUCGGUGACGCAGCUAACGCAUUAAGCACUCCGCCUGGGGAGUACGGUCGCAAGAUUAAAACUCAAAGGAAUUGACGGGGGCCCCGCACAAGCGGUGGAGCAUGUGGUUUAAUUCGAAGCAACGCGCAGAACCUUACCACCUUUUGACAUGCCCUGACCGCCGGAGAGAUCCGGUUUUCCCUUCGGGUACAGGGACACAGGUGCUGCAUGGCUGUCGU